CGUUCGGGUUCCGCGGGACGGGGCCGCCCCGCGAGGGACGGCGCCGCCCCGGGGGCUCGUGAUAUCUCAUCUCGCCGCCCGUCGCGAGGCGGACGGAGGGAUGGAUGAGGUUACCUGGAAAAAAUCGGGGCGAUCUAGGCGGGCGAACCUCGCCAACGAACGAUCGGACAUGGGAUAACGGAAGAGGGCGUCGGCUCGACUUCGUCGGUUCCUCGGGCCGAGGCACGUACGGUGAAUAGGGACGGUCGGGGCCGCCCGUACCGGGUCGUGAGAGGUGAAAUUCUAGGAUCGACCCGAGACGAACCGCCGCGAAAGCAUUCGGCAAGGACGCUUUCAUUAAUCAAGAACGAAAGUCGGGGGAUCGAAGACGAUCAGAUACCGUCGUAGUCCCGACCGUAAACGAUGCCGACCGAGGGCCCGGAGGAGUUACGUACGACCCUCCGGGCCCUCCCGCGAGAAAUCAGGAGUAUUCGGGUUCC
This 479-nucleotide ribosomal RNA is filed under the name uncultured eukaryote. Its description in RNAcentral is "bacterial SSU rRNA". It matches the Rfam family "Eukaryotic small subunit ribosomal RNA", at positions 720 to 1115 of the family's 1831-position model. The record is from RNAcentral.